Homo sapiens (human) is the source of this 1138-nucleotide long non-coding RNA. Ensembl annotates it as septin 7 pseudogene 11. Its record names the gene SEPTIN7P11. Lineage: Eukaryota; Metazoa; Chordata; Mammalia; Primates; Hominidae. The record is from Ensembl.
CGGAUGACUGGCCGCAGGCGGCCGGGCGGGCUGUAACCCGCCGCUGAACUAGCGCUUCUGUGUCCAGAGGCUUCGGCCUGGCCGCCGUCGCCUGUAAGCUACGAGGAGGAGAUUUACGACUUGGCCGGGCGCAGCAAAGGCCAGACUCUGCGCGAACAGGCGCUGCGCACCAACCGGCAGGCACCUGGCGGGCACCAUCGCACGGUGGCGCAGAAGCCCCUCAAUGGCCAGCGCCAGCUGCAGCCGCGGCCGCGCAGUCGUCCCACCUGAGCUUGGGCGAAUGUGGAUUGGGAAAGUCGACAUUAAUCAACUCAUUAUUCCUCAUAGAUUUGUAUUCUCCAGAGUAUCCAGGUCCUUCUCACAGAAUUAAAAAGACUGUACAGCUGGCAGCCUGUUAUCGAUUACAUUGAUAGUAAAUUUGAGGACUACCUAAAUGCAGAAUCAUGCGUGAACAGACAUCAGAUGCCUGAUAACAGGGUGCAGUGUUGUUCAUACUUCAUUGCUCCUUCAGGACAUGGACUUAAACCAUUGGAUAUUGAGUUUAUGAAGCGUUUGCAUGAAAAAGUGAGUAUCACCCCACUUAUUGCCAAAGCAGACACACUCACACCAGAGGAAUGCCAACAGUUUAAAAAACAGUUGAAAAUGGUGAACAUUGUUAUUUUACAAUUCUAAGAAAUAUGUUGAUAAGUGAAAAUAUCUAUAACCAGCAUCCAAGAGGGAUACUGUUGGUGAAACCUGCUUAGCCGAGGACUGGCUGUGUGUGUGCCUCCAGACCAAUCAUAUGUUUGUUUUGAGAUACAUUUUUUGGAGGAAGGUAACUUUUCCGGUCACACACAACAGACUGAUUUUCCUGUGGAAGACCUCACAGGAGUUCUCUUGAACCAGGAGACUAUUUUGAGCUGAAAUACCUGGAGCCCUCUCAAGCUAUUUGGGCCUUUCAAUUUGAAACCCAGGUUUGGAUGAUUCUAAGCUCUAUGGCAGAGACUGUAAUCAUUUUCUCUUCACCCUCAGGUUGGGGACUCACCCUCAGGGUUGGGAGUGACUGCUGUCUCUCCAGCCCCCACCAAUUACACCAUGUUCUGGUUGUUAAAAUCCAGUGUAUGCAUGAAAUGUAAUAAAAGUAUCUUCGCAGCACUAA